AACGAACGCUGGCGGCAGGCUUAACACAUGCAAGUCGAGCGCCCCGCAAGGGGAGCGGCAGACGGGUGAGUAACGCGUGGGAACGUACCUUUUGGUUCGGAACAACUCCGGGAAACUGGAGCUAAUACCGGAUAAGCCCUAACGGGGAAAGAUUUAUCGCCGAAAGAUCGGCCCGCGUCUGAUUAGCUAGUUGGUGAGGUAACGGCUCACCAAGGCGUCGAUCAGUAGCUGGUCUGAGAGGAUGAUCAGCCACACUGGGACUGAGACACGGCCCAGACUCCUACGGGAGGCAGCAGUGGGGAAUAUUGGACAAUGGGCGCAAGCCUGAUCCAGCCAUGCCGCGUGAGUGAUGAAGGCCUUAGGGUUGUAAAGCUCUUUUGUCCGGGAAGAUAAUGACUGUACCGGAAGAAUAAGCCCCGGCUAACUUCGUG
Molecule: ribosomal RNA, 431 nt
Filed under: uncultured bacterium
Lineage: Bacteria
Description: partial 16S ribosomal RNA
Rfam family: Bacterial small subunit ribosomal RNA
Source: RNAcentral